CGUAAUCAUUCUAUUGCCAAACCCCAACACUUCAAUGAGUCUGCCUAGAACCUGGUUCCAUUUUUCUCUCAGAUAUUAGCCUCUUGGAAUCUGCUUUCUUGUCCAUAAGCCUGUAGAAUGCACUUUAUCAUAUUUUCAAACUUGUCUUCAGGUAGGAGCUUGGACUUUAGUGCAGUUUCCUAAGGAAAAGGGGCUUGUACCACCACACAGGUUGCCUGUCAUCCCCUGUGCCAUAACUUUCAAACCAGCUCUAACCGAGUUUGACACAAAGCCAAGAGUUCAAAUAUAUUAAUUUCCUAUGAGUUUCAUGAAAAUUGUCGCUGUGCCGAGCGUGGGAGAUAGACACUAUUAAUAUCUUGGCUGAGGAAAUGUCAGCACAGCUCAGCCCUUCUCUAGUCUGUUUGGCAGCAGCAUGUGCUUGUUCCUGCAGUGGGGAGGACAAAAUGGUAUUUAAGGGCAAUGGGACGUGAACCUGUAGGAAGACAGCUUUGUUUCAGAAUAAUUUCAAAAUUAAAAAAAAAAAAAAAAAGGAUUCCCUUAAUUUUGAGAGCUGGAAGCUAUAAAAUAAAUUUCAAAUGACAGAAAGGCAUUUUAAUGCAAUGGAGGGAAAGUUGAGCCAGGAGUGCAGGCCCAGUGGAGAAGUGAAACCAGGAAACUUUGGAAAUAACAACUGGGUCAUCACCUGACACCAUAGCUGCCUUGAAGCCCGGAGAGAGCAAGGUGCUGCUGAGGAGGACAAUUUGAAAGGCACUUUUGAAACACGGAAUAUAAACCAUCAGACUUAUUUGCCUUGAGGAGGAAGGGACUGAGUUAAUGGAAAACAGAAGUUUGUCUUUCUGAAGUAAUGUUAGUAAUAAAGUGUUUGUGAUCAGCUGACUGUCAUUACCACAAAUAUGAUGUGGUACCUCUCUCUGAAGCAAGUGGAAAUACUUCUCUGUUGUAAUCUGGACAUGUUACAUGCUUCCAAGUAUACGUGAUAAGACAUGCAGCCUAGAAACAUACAUCUCAGAUUAUUUUACUUCUCAUGGAUAUUUUAUUUGCUCUAGAAAAUACUAGCCUUUUCCCUUUCAUAACUGCUUUCUGCUGCCAUGAGUGGGAUGCAGGUUUUGUUGCACAGGAGAAAGUGCUAUUGGAAGGGAAUUGCUUUCUGAUCAGUGGGGAGUAUCAGACUUCACUGAGGCUAAUGAGCACGUUACCUCCCUUCUAUUCAGACUAAAUGAUGGAGCAGCUGAACUUCUUUGUCUUCAGCUGCAAAGGAAAAUGAGGGAUCCUGUUACCCUGUAUCAUAGACCAAGCUUGUCAGGGCAACGUAGAAGACAAAUUGUGGACUAAAGAGGUUCCUUGCCAUUUGAAAAGGAACAAGGCCUUGGGCUUUGGUUGGUCUGGGUGCAUCUGUGGCUGUUUUUUUCAGUGGCUGUGUACUAAUGCAGCUCCCACAUUCUUCGUCAUGCUGCUUAUUUGUCUCCCAUUCCUGCCUCUUAACAGGCCACAGGCAAUGGAAUUGGUCAGCUUUCUGAGAUGAUAGCCCUGCAAGAAGAACUUUCACUGCUGGAGAAAAUCUCAGGGGAAUCCUGGUACCUGAUCAGAAGGAGCCAAAAACGACAGCGAAAGAAGCAAAAGAACAAGAGAAAAUAGGAAAAGGGUCAGGAACAUGGCUCAGAAAUACUGUCUGUAGACUAAGUAAAACACUUUUGAAUAAAGCUUGGGAUAAAUAAAGAAAUGAUGAAAGAAUAAUGAAAAAAUAACGAAAAAAUAUUUUUGCUAUGUUCAUGGAAAAAUGAUUUUAUGUAAUUUUCUAAUCAACAAAACACAUGGCAUAAAAGAAGUGAUCGUAAUUAUAUCCAUAGUCUCCUUUUAGCAAAAGCAACUGUCAAGAUAACACAUUUUACUAUUAAGGGUAAAAUGAAGUACCAGCAAUGACAAGUGUGUCAGAAAUUAGAUCAAGCGUACAAAAAUUAGCCUGCGCAGUCAACUUGUUUUUUGUAAAGAUACUUGGAGCUGGCUACAAAGCAAGCUGCUGUUUACAAAUGCAAGGGUUUUGAUAAAUAAUUAAGGGAGGUUCCUGCAAACUAGGAGUAUAAUAAACUUGGCCUCAUAAAGACACCGCUGUAGUUACAAAUUGAUAAAUAAAGAGUGCUUUAGCUCUGGCAGCUGUUAGGUCAGGACAUCUCACUAUCAUUAUUUUUACAGAAAUAUUCACAUAAGAAAAGGGGGGCUAUCAGGUUAUGGUCCUUUUCACAGAGAGAGUGGAAAAUUUACACAGGGGACUGCGUCCAACUAGAGAAUCAAAUGACUACUGAGACUUAGUGGGAAGAACAUACUGCCUUAUGUUUUGUAUGCCAACAAGUUGAUAAUAUCUUUCUCUUUUUUUUUUUUAAACAAGCUGUCCUAUGUCAUGGAAUUACUGAAACCCAGUGUCACACCGGCGUGCACCCCUUCCCUUCAGCCCCUCUCCCCUGUCCUUUCCCAGCACUGACCCCAGCUCUUCUUUUAGGACUGGGCAGCUGCUCCCUGCUGAACCGAAUGAGAAACGGCUGAGCUGCCCCUCUUUGCCUCAGUUGGGGCAUUAAUAGGGUCUAGCCCUCCAUUCAGAUGCCCCCUUUCACAACUCUUAUGAGAACACAACAUCUUGGAGGCCUUUUAUCCUUUACUCAAAUUUGCAAGGAAUUGGUUAACCAGCUCAAAAGUUGCUUAUAGAGCACUGAGAGACUAGGAGUGCAAUUGCCGGUGCCUUUUAUCCCUAGGAAACGAGGCUAAAAUUAGGAACAGAAGAAUCUUAAGGUACUGAACUUAUUGACUUACCAGCAGCAAAGCUUUCUGCAACCACCUGUAGGCUGAAAAAAAGCUCUGCAGACGCAGUUUCAACAGAAACUAAGCAUAUGCAACCGUUCCUGGAAUCAGCAGUCAUGUUUGGGGUAAGAUAAGAUAUGGCUCCUUCAGCUGUAUAGAAACCAUUAGAAAACUAUAUUCUAGAACUUUUCUUUCCUAUGUAUCAGAAUGAUUAUCCCAUAAUUGCUGCCUUCUGACUCUUAGGUCUUUAGGGAGAAGAAAAUGCUCACUGUGAAGCAAAGAAGUUUUAAGCUGCUACCAGCUUGCGGUUUGAGAAUUCGUAGCAGGAUGGAGACUUUUCUGGUACCGCUGGAGGAGCAGCAGCUCAGGCUGUCAGAGAUGAUCUGGUUUCAUAAGGGAGGAAAGGUUAGCCCCUGGAUUCCCUGUGCUGGACCGACAACGUUUUGUAGAAAAAGGUAAGAAUUCUC
Long non-coding RNA from Cygnus olor (mute swan), 3257 nucleotides. RefSeq lists it as uncharacterized. The record is from RefSeq and is a predicted model, not a curated record. NCBI's taxonomy places the organism in Eukaryota, Metazoa, Chordata, Aves, Anseriformes, Anatidae. The transcript is spliced from 3 exons.